GCCCGAGUAGCUCAAUUGACGGAGCGCUGGUCCUACAAACCAGAGGUUGAAGGUUUGAGUCCUUCCUUGGGCACCA
RNAcentral lists this transfer RNA (76 nucleotides) under Acidobacteriota bacterium. Its description in RNAcentral is "Acidobacteria bacterium tRNA-Val". It matches the Rfam family "tRNA". Rfam says of the family: Transfer RNA (tRNA) molecules are approximately 80 nucleotides in length. RNAcentral also lists the same sequence under 1 other name. Lineage: Bacteria; Pseudomonadati; Acidobacteriota. The record is from RNAcentral.